GCCUCAUUGGCCAAACAGUACUUUAUUCAACAAUCAAUAAGGUGAACAUACACAGAAGUACAUUCCCCAUCAACCCCAAGAACUGGUGUCUAUAUAAUAUUGGCGCCAUGUGAUCCACCGGCAAGGGAGGAGGCCAAUGGAAGGCAUCUGAUAAGGUAUGUCUUAUAAAAUAUAUAGAUUUAUGGUAAUUAAGACUGAGCUAGCAGAUGAGAAAUCCUAGUCAUUAACCAAGCAGCAUCUGUACAUAAUACAAGGCUCUAUGCAUUAAUUUGGGCCCUAACUUGGUGGGCAGAACUCAAGCUGCUG
Molecule: long non-coding RNA, 306 nt
Filed under: Cricetulus griseus (Chinese hamster)
Lineage: Eukaryota; Metazoa; Chordata; Mammalia; Rodentia; Cricetidae
Description: lncRNA (ENSCGRG00000025176.1)
Source: RNAcentral